This 15084-nucleotide long non-coding RNA is filed under the name Sorghum bicolor (sorghum). Its description in RNAcentral is "long non-coding RNA (SBIC_LNC012265)". Lineage: Eukaryota; Viridiplantae; Streptophyta; Magnoliopsida; Poales; Poaceae. The record is from RNAcentral.
GGGCCAGGGGCCUUGCUUAUAUAGUCUUUUCAGAUGAAUCUGGGCCGUCGGAUCAAACCGACAUUGAUCGUGUGGUUUUCCUUGAAGUAUUAGGUCGGUGGAGCAUGAUCCGCGAAACGUUUCCUGAUUGGGCACUGUAGCUGGGCGGGCGCCCAGGAGAGUUGGGCGGGCGCCCUGCCUCCGAGCCCGAUUUCCUUCCCGUUUGUUCCCGUGGCUUCUAGAGUCUUCUAGAUGAUAGAAAAUUGCACGACACGUUAAUGUCUCUAUGUAAACCCGACGUGUGGGCCUUUCUUACUUAUUUCCUGAUAACCCCCUGCAGAAAUAGACAAACACCAAAACUCGUGGAAUUCUAUCAGAUAAAACCCUAAGUCUAGGUGUUGGUUGCAUUUGGAUCCUUUUCUAUGAUUAGUUGAUGGUUAAAUGUGAGCAUUAAGGACCGUCAACAAGCUCCCCCAAGCUUAACCUUUGCUCAUCCCUGAGCAAAGAUGAACUCAAGAGUUUCUGCAGUGGUUUCAUAACUUAAAGAUACACAUGCGUUUAAACAAGAUCUCAUCUCGGGUUAGAGUAAACUGUUAAGACUUAAAACUUACUCAUUUACCUUUCACCAUGGGACUUGUAACCGUCACUUCUGUCUUGAGUAGUUAAAAGAUAGAACAGUCUAGUCAAGCACCAUGUCUCUUGUUCUUCGAUUAACUAUAGCUCUGGAGUUUUUGCAGAUUUUCAAAUAAAACAUAGAGAUUCCUUGUAUGACUCUCUCUAGUCUCUCUUUUGUGGUAUUUCUGGAUCCUUACCAAGGCAGUAAUGGUACAUGCCUUGUCUCAAAGUAUGUGGUAUUUUUGGUACGAGGCAUAGUGACAUUGCCUUCUCUCUCACCCUACUCUAAUAAGGUUUUGAUAUCUGGAGCUCAUAGGUGGGAGACAGCUAAUACAUACUUACUAGACAUUUAUUGCAUAGUCAAACCAUGGAUCCAAAAGAACAAGUCAAUAAGUCAAAUCAAGAUGUGCAUGUGUGGCGAAUGAAUAGUGUAUGGUAAUGAUAGUGAUAACAAUGGUGAAAGUCUAAUUCUACUUGUGCUCUUUUGAUGGGAUACAUACCUUUCUUGCUCUUUUGAAACUUUUUGAGGAGAAUGAGAUGCUCUAUAUUUUCCCUUUUUUUCUCUUUUUCUUUUUUCUUUUCUCUCAGGUGGGUAUCUUGUACCCCUAAUUCUACUAUCGGACACUUGUCCAUUUUUACCUCUCAUCUCACUUUUUCUUUUCUUUCGAGGUUCCGGGCACUUGCCCCUUUUUAUUUCGUCGUAUCUCUUUUUUUUCUUUUUUUCUUCUUUUUUUAGAGAGCACUCAUCUCAUGAAAUAAUAUAGCAAGUGGUAGUAACAAGAUAACUUGAGCAUUUAUUUCAUAGGGGAAAACAUAAAUGUUUUUGGCUAUUCUCUCCCAGAUUAGGAGUAGAAUAUUUUUGGGUGGUUCUGGAGAUGGAAAUGGAUAUAUGUGGAUGGUACUUCCGGAGUAGAAGUAGCAUGUGUGAGUGAACGUGCAAGUGAAUCUUGAUUUAACCACAUGACAAGCUUCUAAGGGUCUACACAGCUUGACCACACUCAAUGCUCAUAAGUAGUAAAGUAAAUGUGUGGUUCAUAGUCUAGCAAGCAUGUAUAUAUGGCUGUGGUAGGAAUUUAAACUCUCAUCAUACAGGAACUCAUCAUGCAACAUUUUAAAGAUUUUCAAAGAUAAAAUUCUCCAGAAUUCUAGCAUCUCUAGGAACAGAUAAACAGCAGCUCAACCUUCCCAUAUCGUAUCCGUUAACGACUUAGACUUUAGAUCAAGUACUCUCCCCACAAGUUCAGGUUUAGAGCAGAUCUUAAUUAAUAACAGUCAUGCCUAAACUUAAGAGAGAUUUCAAUUUUUAGAACUAAUCAUGGCAGAGCAGCUAUUCAUCAUUUCAAUGUGAGAGCUUAUCAUGAGGGUUCAUAGCAAUCUUUAUUUAUUUAGCAAGCUAAGCAAAGAUAUAUAUAUAAGCACAAAAUCUUUAUUUGGGUUUUUAUUAUUAUGCAUCUUUUUACUAUUAGAGUAAAGUAUAAACGUGAGUAGAAUACUUAGCUAGAUAAAUGGGGGUGCUCUCCCCCAAGCUGGAUUUUGACGCAAUUUCUUCUGAUGUAGCUAGCAGGUGGUGGAGGUGUAUUUGAAUGUCGGCAGCACCCUGACAGCGAUUAGGAUGUCCUCCGUCUGCUAGUCUUCUUUGAUCCUUGAAUUCUGUGGAGCUCAAAUAGACAACAAAGCUUUGUGUUACUAGUUAAGUGUUAGCAUAAAUAUCUAGCCUUUAUCAUGUUGAGCCUCCUCAAUAAAUGUUACUCAUUAGUAGGAUCAUAAUUUUAUUUUUAUAAUUUUAUUUUUAUAGGACAGGAAUAUAUUUAUUUCAUUUUUUUAUGCCACCACAGUGAAUGUACUUAUGGGUUUUAUGCCAUGAGCAUACUCACAUGGGGCUUACUAUUUUUAACAUUUUUAUUUUCUUUUCAAGAUGAUAUGAACUUGAUUAACUAAGCAAACUAUUUUAAAUAAUUGAAAGGGAAAAAGGAUAACUACCAAGUUUACCUCUUGGCAAGGCGUUCGGUGUUUUUAAGUCCUCCGAACGGGACUCUCUAUUUUCUCAGUUGUCCUCGGAUUCGCUAGAUGGCGUAGUCGGUGGUUCCGGCAGCGCCUGGUCUUCAUGUAUAACUAUCUUCUCUCUCCACACCUGACUCGGUGCUACGGUCUCCUCAGGACAGUUCUGUUCAAGUUGUAUGUCUUCAGACCUUACGACUUCUCCUUCAUAGUCUGCCCAUCCGUCCUUGAUGAUUUGCCUCCUCUGGUUGCGGUUGCGUCGUCCUCUUCUUGCCCUGACCUGCUUAGAGUCUUCAACUAUAUAGUUAGGGUGAGUAAAAUAGCAGCUUACCUUCUCAGAGGGGAAGUGCAUGUGGACUUCUCCGGUUCCAAUGUAGAUUCUUGUUUUAACGGUGCUGAGGAACGGUCUCCUAAGGAUGAUGGGUGGAUCGUACUCGUCUUCUCGCAUGUCAAUAACCUGAAAAUCUUUCGGACUGUCUGAUCUGCCAUCUGGAGCUGAAUGUAGUCGAUUUCAGGGGCAUGGUUCUGAAUAGGAGCUGAUAGGUGACUGGGUCGUCCUUUUUGGUCAGGAAUGGUAACUUAAGUUGAUGAUCUUGACCUCCAUGAACUGCAGUGACCAUCUUAGCUGACUCGGUCCACAUUUGCUUGUUCCUGUUCCUCCUGUUGGUCCUUUCCUUGGUUCAUGUCAGGAUUGCUCUAAGAUUUGUGUAGUCUUGUUCUUGAAGGAAAACGUCUCCGUCCUUCCCUUGAUGUAGAAACUGAUCUUGGCAGCACUAGCGUAGAUGUCAGCUCCCGAGGUGUUCAGGAAUGGCCUCCCUAGGUUGAUGGGUGCCCUCUCAUCAGUAUCAGUCUCUAUCACCACGAAGUCUGCUAGAGCGUAUAAGGUACCAAUUCGGACAUAGAGGUUCUUCAAUAUUCCCUUUGGGAAACUUAGUGUCUGAUUUGCAAGCUGCAAACACAUGGUUGUUUCUAGGAAAGGAUGUGUAAAGAAUUUUUCAUAGAGUACCCUGGGCAUAAUGUUGACGCUGGAGCCAAAGUCGCAGAGUGCUUCUAGGAAGUCCACCAUGCCGAUGGAGAUCGGGAUGACGGGGCGUCCUAGAUUUUCUCUCUUGACCGGCAGAAGGUCAGUAAUUACUUCCACAAUGGGGUUACUCCAGUAGUUAUGUCCUCAAGCUCAGGGCAGUGAUUGCAUGAGUGUCCAGCAUCUCUAGUGUGUUUGUGCUCGUAGAUCUAGGUUCUUCACUUGGUGGAGUCUGGGAGUUGUAAAAGUCCUUCAUAUUUUGCUCGAGGUGUACCUGCUCAUAGGGACAAGGCAGAGAUCAAGUGCAUGGGCCCUGUUGGUGGAAAACACCAACAGAACCAAAAGUGUAUUUGUUCUUCUCUAACCUUAAGCAUAGUGAGCAAGGCAAAGUAGAUGGAUAAUAAGACCAUGAGUGUAACAUUUAAAACCUUUGUCAGAUCAGAUCACUCAACCUUAUGGAAAGAUAAUCUAUCUAAGUAAAUGGUUUUUUUCUUUACAUGACUAUCAUUUUCCAAAGAUUGAGUGUGCAACAUUUUAGUUCAUAAGAUUAGGAGUGUGGGAUCACAAAGGUGGAAGGACUAAACAUAUUGAAUCAAUUGUGUUGGUUAAUCUAGAGUUGCAAAUCAUACAUGUUUGUCUCUUUUAUUCAUGUGAACGCCAGAACCAAGGAGAAACUUAUAAAAGUGAUAGUCAAGUACCUUAAGAUGUUACCUUAAUUGAAGAGUGAUGGUACAGUAUCACCUUGUGGAAGCUUUCCUUUCUUAGUGGAUGUGCAUCGUGUUUGUGGCACCCUCCAUGGAUCAUCUCUUGUGAGCUAUGCCUUCCUUGUGUAAAUUGUUAAACUUUAUGUGCCUAUCUAUUUGUCUCCAAUGUGAGUUUAUCUCAGGACUUCCCAGGUCGAUAUUGAAAGUUUUCCUGCAGGGGUUAGUCCAACAAAAUAUCCAAUAUCUACUAUAGCAUACUAUCGGCUCAAAAAUCAACCUAGACACCAUGUCUAAUUUGAUUCAGGAGGGCUUUUUUAACCUAAGCACCAUGCUUAAUUUAAACUCCCUUGGAAGUAAGAUCAUCAUCCCUAAACUAAGCACCAAGCUUAAUUAAAAGAUAAAUGAAACUACUCCAAACCUAGACAUAUACUAAAGCAAAUAAAGGUGGUAUGUGAGCAUUUAUAGAGAUCUACUCAAGUGGAGAUGAAGUGUGAUUAGUAUUUAAUAGAUUGAGCAUGUCUCAAAGGUAGGGACAACCAACAUAGCAACAUGGCAAAUGAUGUUUUUAUGUAAAGUACUCCCCCAAGCUUGAAUUUUGCAAAAUUCAAGUUUGGAUGAAUUUAAUUCAAUGUUGUAUGAUGAUUGGUUGGACAUACCUUGUGCUUGUCAUUCAUCCGAUCUUCUUGCUCCAAUCCUGGAAAGGUUAGUGACAAGAAUACCCGAAGGAAUAUUUUUACAAUUAUCCUUAUAUGCUCAAUUCACAAGGUAAUGUUGCAAAUAAUUAAAAGCUCAUGUUAUAAUCUGAUUAGUGCUUGUUUUAGGACACUAAGCUUGUCCUGGGGAAACCAUUAAUUUAUGUCAGCGAAGUGGUUUCCCCUCCAACUCUGACCUAUAUCAAGAUCAACUCAACGAUAUCUGCAAUAUUUAUUAUAGACAUAUGCAUUGACAACCGCCCUUUUAAAGUUUUUAUAAAUAGGAAGGAAGUGGGGGUUGGAGAUCUCGAAUGUGGUGAUGUUGGAGAGACCAGUGGAUUGUGAAGAUGUUGCAUAUGAGCAUGGAGUAAAUGAAGUGGCUAUGAAGUAAAUUCCAUGCUCAUUAAUGCUUAGAGUGAAAUCCAUGUGGUAUGGUGAAAAUGAUAAGGUGAGUGUGGUAAAAAAAAGGAAAAGAAAAAGGAUACACGGACGACUUGGUUCGAAACUAGCACAGCUACCGUUCCCCGGCAAUGGCACCAGAAAGCUUGUUGGGUAUUUUAAACGCAAACAGAAAAAUCCGCAAGCGCACGGAUACCGAUGUAGCUUUCACCCGGGAGUAUUCCAGAGUAUCGAUUUUCCACGGAGAACGUGAAUGUACUAAUUAAGAUCCAAGAUCACCCAAGGAUAACUAUAUGAUUAUUUUUGGUGGGAAGAGAGGAAGUUUCCUGAGAGUUCUCUAGUUGAUCUAAGAAUCAAGAAUUACUUCAAGAUUAUCUAUUUCGGGACAUCAGAACACUAACCACAAAAAGAGAUGAGAAGGGGGCUAGGAAGCUCCGACUACGGUCCUACAAACACUGAUCCGAACGAGGUGGAAUACAUCGACCGUUAGGGCUGUCACUACCCUAAGGCUACCACAACAAUCCGCAGGAUUGGGUGCAAUUCCAGGUAAUUGCAAGACUAAACACCACGUCUAAUCUAUUAAUUACUACUCUAAUGUUUCAAAGAUUAGAGCACUUGAUGCAAGCGGGAAUCCAAUAAAUAACUUGAAUGUAAAUAAAAGUAAUUAGAGAACUCAGGAGUUAUGAAUUGAAGAACCUGGAGAACGAUGAAGAACGAACCAGAUGCUGCAAAAAUAAAAUGUUGAGGAAGAUCCGACAGAUCCGGCUCCUCCUCCGCUCUCCUCUUCUCUCUCCCUAUUUUCUAGAUUACAACUAGAACUAACUAGAACUAGAACUAGAGGAACUAGAACUAGAACUAGAUGAACUAGAACUAGCUCUAGAUGAACUAGAGGUAGAACUAGAAGAACUAGAGGGAUCCUCUCUACUUGGAUGAAGAAUUGAAACCCUAACUUUGAUUCUGUAGAAGAGGUAUGCUCUCCAGGGGCCAGGGGCCUUGCUUAUAUAGUCUUUUCAGAUGAAUCUGGGCCGUCGGAUCAAACCGACAUUGAUCGUGUGGUUUUCCUUGAAGUAUUAGGUCGGUGGAGCAUGAUCCGCGAAACGUUUCCUGAUUGGGCACUGUAGCUGGGCGGGCGCCCUGCCUCCGAGCCCGAUUUCCUUCCCGUUCGUUCCCGUGGCUUCUAGAGUCUUCUAGAUGAUAGAAAAUUGCGCGACACGUUAAUAUCUCUAUGUAAACCCGACGUGUGGGCCUUUCUUCCUUAUUUCCUGAUAACCCCCUGCAGAAAUAGACAAACACCAAAACUCGUGGGAUUCUAUCAGAUAAAACCCUAAGUCUAGGUGUUGGUUGCAUUUGGAUCCUUUUCUAUGAUUAGUUGAUGGUUAAAUGUGAGCAUUAAGGACCGUCAACAAGCUCCCCCAAGCUUAACCUUUGCUCAUCCCUGAGCAAAGAUGAACUCAAGAGUUUCUGCAGUGGUUUCAUAACUUAAAGAUACACAUGCGUUUAAACAAGAUCUCAUCUCGGGUUAGAGUAAACUGUUAAGACUUAAAACUUACUCAUUUACCUUUCACCAUGGGACUUGUAACCAUCACUUCUGUCUUGAGUAGUUAAAAGAUAGAACAGUCUAGUCAAGCACCAUGUCUCUUGUUCUUCGAUUAACUAUAGCUCUGGAGUUUUUGCAGAUUUUCAAAUAAAACUUAGAGAUUCCUUGCAUGACUCUCUCUAGUCUCUCUUUUGUGGUAUUUCUGGAUCCUUACCAAGGCAGUAAUGGUAUAUGCCUUCUCUCAAAGUAUGUGGUAUUUUUGGUAUGAGGCAUAGUGACAUUGCCUUCUCUCUCACCCUACUCUAAUAAGGUUUUGAUAUCUGGAGCUCAUAGGUGGGAGACAGCUAAUACAUACUUACAAGACAUUUAUUGCAUAGUCAAACCAUGGAUCCAAAAGAACAAGUCAAUAAGUCAAAUCAAGAUGUGCAUGUGUGGCGAAUGAAUGGUGUAUGGUAAUGAUAGUGAUAACAAUGGUGAAAGUCUAAUUCUACUUGUGCUCUUUUGAAGGGAUACAUACCUUUCUUGCUCUUUUGAAACUUUUUGAGGAGAAUGAGAUGCUCUAUAUUUUCCCUUUUUUUUCUCUUUUUCUUUUUUCUUUUCUCUCAGGUGGGUAUCUUGUACCCCUAAUUCUACUAUCGGACACUUGUCCAUUUUUACCUCUCAUCUCACUUUUUCUUUUCUUUCGAGGUUCCGGGCACUUGCCCCUUUUUAUUUCCUCGUAUCUCUUUUUUUUUUCUUUUUUUUCUUCUUUUUUUAGAGAGCACUCAUCUCAUGAAAUAAUAUAGCAAGUGGUAGGAACAAGAUAACUUGAGCAUUUAUUUCAUAGGGGAAAACAGAAAUGUUUUUGGCUAUUCUCUCCCGGAUUAGGAGUAGAAUAUUUUUGGGUGGUUCUGGAGAUGGAAAUGGAUAUAUGUGGAUGGUACUUCCAGAGUAGAAGUAGCAUGUGUGAGUGAACGUGCAAGUGAAUCUUGAUUUAACCACAUGACAAGCUUCUAAGGGUCUACACAGCUUGACCACACUCAAUGCUCAUAAGUAGUAAAGUAAAUGUGUGGUGGCAAGAAGAAGACGACGCAACCGCAACCAGAGGAGGCAAAUCAUCAAGGACGGAUGGGCAGACUAUGAAGGAGAAGUCGUAAGGUCUGAAGACAUACAGCUUGAACAGAACUGUCCUGAGGAGACCGUAGCACCGAGUCAAGUGUGUAGAAAGAAGAUAGUUAUACAUGAAGAGGAGGCGCCGCCGGAACCACCUACUACGCCAUCCAGUGAAUUCCAGGAUGAUUGAGAAAACGGAGAGUCCCGUUCGGAGGACUUAAAAACACCGAACGCCUUGCCAAGAGGUAAACUUGGUAGUUAUCCUUUUUCCCUUUCAAUUAUUUAAAAUAGUUUGCUUAGUUAAUCACGUUCAUAUCAUCUUAAAAAGAAAAUAAGAAUGUUAAAAAUAGUAAGCCCCAUGUGAGUAUGCUCAUGGCAUAAAACCCAUAAGUAUAUUCACUGUGGUGGCAUAAAAAUAAAAUAAAUAUAUUCCUGUCCUAUAAAAAUGAAAAUAUAAAAAUAAAUUUAUGAUCCUACUAAAGAGAGUAACAUUUAUUGAGGAGGCUCAACAUGAUAAAGGCUAGGUAUUUACGCUAACCCUUAACCAGUUCCACAAAGCUUUGUUGUCUAUUUGAACUCCACAGAAUUCAAGGAUCAAAGAAGACUAGCAGACGGAGAACAUCCUAAUCGCUGACAGAGUGCUGUCGACAUUCAAAUACACCUCCGCCAGCUGCUAGCUACAUCAGAAGAAAUUACGUCAAAAUCCAGCUUGGGGGAGAGCACCCCCAUUUAUCCAGCUAAGUGUUCUACUCACGUUUAUAUUUUACUCAAAUAAUAAAAAGAUGCAUGAUCAUAAAAACCCAAAUAAAGAUUUUGUGCUUAUAUACCAUUGCUUAGUUUGCUAAAUAAAUAAAUAAAUAAAUAAAGUUUGCUAUGAACCCUCAUGAUAAGCUCUCACAUGGAAAUGAUGAAUAGUUGCUCUGCCAUGACUAGUUCUCAAAAUUGAAAUCUCUCUCAAGUUUAGGCCUAACUGUUAUUAAUUAAGAUUUGCUCUAAACCUGAACUUGUGGGAAGAGUACUUGAUCUGAAGUCUAAGUCGUUAACGGAUAUGAUAUGGGAAGGUUGAGCUGUUGUUUAUCUGUUCUUAGAGAUGCUAGAAUUCUGGAGAAUUUUAUCUUUGAAAAUCUUUAAAAUGUUGCAUGAUGAGUUCCUGUAUGAUGAGAGUUUAAAUUCCUACCACAGCCAGAUAUACAUGCUUGCUAGACUUUGAGCCACACAUUUACUUUUUACAGCUUAUGAGCAUUGAGUGUGGUCAAGCUGUGUAGACCCUUAGGAGCUUGUCAUGUGGUUAAAAUCAAGAUUCACUUGCACGUUCACUCAUACAUGCUGCUUCUACUCCGGAAGUACGCAUCCACAUAUAUCCAUCCAUUUCCAUAUCCAGAACCACCCAAAAAUAUUCUACUCCUAAUCCGGGAGAGAAUAGCCAAAAAUAUUUCUAUUUUUCCCCUGUGAAAUAAAUGCUCAAGUUAUCUUGUUACUACCACUUGCUAUAUUAUCUCAUGAGAUGAGUGCUCUAAUAAAAAAAAGAGAAAAAAAAGAGAGAAAAAAAAGAGAAAAAAAAAGAGAGAUACGAGGAAAUAAAAAGGGGCAAGUGCCUGGAACCUCGAAAGAAAGAAAAAGUGAGACGAGAGGUAAAAAUGGACAAGUGUCCGACAGUAGAAUUAGGGGUACAAGAUACCCACCUGAGAGAAAAGAAAAAGAAAAUAUAGAGCAUCUCAUUCUCCUCAAAAAGUUUCAAAAGAGCAAGAAAGGUAUGUAUCCCCUCAAAAGAGCAAAAGUAGAAUUAGACUUUAACCAUUGUUAUCACCAUCAUCACCUUACACCAUUCAUUCGCCACACAUGCACAUCUUGAUUUGACUUAUUGACUUGUUCUUCUGGAUCCAUGGUUUGAUCAUGCAAUAAAUGUCUUGUAAGUAUGUAUUAGCUAUCUCCCACCUAUGAGCUCCAGAUAUCAAAAGCCUAAUUAGAGUAGGGUGAGAGAGAAGGCAAUGCCACUAUGCCUUAUACCACAAAUACCACAUACUUUAAGAGAAGGCAUACACCAUUAAUGCCUUGGUAAGGAUCCAGAAAUACCACAAAAGAGAGAUUAGAGAGAGUCAUACAAGGAAUCUCUGAGUUUUAUUUGAAAAUCUACAAAAACUCCAGAGCUAUAGCUGAUCAAGAAUAAGAGACAUGUUGCUUGACUAGACCGUUCUAUCUUUUAACUACUCAAGACAGAAGUGACGGUUACAAGUCCCAUGGUGAAAGAUAAAUGAGUAAGUUUUAAGUCUUAACAGUUUACUCUAACCAGAGAUGAGAUCUUGUUUAAACGCAUGUGUAUCUUUAAGUUAUGAAACCACUGCAGAAAUUCUUGAGUUCAUCUUUGCUCAGGGACGAGCAAAGGUUAAGCUUGGGGGAGCUUGUUGACGGUCCUUAAUGCACACAUUUAACCAUCAACUAAUCAUGGAAAAGGAUCCAAAUGCAACCAACACCCAGACUUAGGGUUUUAUCUCACAGAAUUCCACAAGUUUUGGUGUUUGUCUAUUUCUGCAGGGGGUUAUCGGGAAUUAUGGAAGAAAGGCCCACACGUCGGGUUUACAUAGAGAUAUUAACGUGCCGCGCAAUUUUCUAUCAUCUAGAAGACUCCAGAAGCCACGGGACCGAAGCGGAGGCCGAGAGGACACAGGGACAGGGCGCCCGCCCUCCUUUCCUGGGCGCCCGCCCUCGGCCAGAGUCCAAUCAGGACUCUCUUUCGGGAUAUUGCUCCACCGACCUAAAGGAUCAACAAUAACCGUUCAAUCAAUGUCGGUUUGAUCUGACGGCCCAGAUUCACUUGAAGGGACUAUAAAACCAGACCCCCUGGCCCCUGGAUAUCAUACCUCUUCUAUAGAAUCAAAGCUAGGGUUUCAAUUCUUCAUCCAAGUAGAGAGGAUCCCUCUAGUUCUUCUAGUUCUAGUUCUAGUUCUUCUAGUUCUAGUUCUAGUUAGUUCUAGUUGUAAUCUAGAAAAUAGGGAGAGAGAAGAGGAGAGCGGAGGAGGAGCCGGAUCUGUCGGAUCUUCCUCAACAUUAUACUUUUGCAGCAUCUGGUUCGUUCUUCAUCGUUCUCCAGGUUCUUCAAUUCAUAAUUCUUGAGUUCUUUAAUUACUUUUAUUUACAUUCAAGUUAUUUAUUGGAUUCCCGCUUGCAUCAAGUGCUCUAGUCUUUAUAACGCUAGAGUAGUAAUUAAUAGAUUAGACGUGGUGUUUAGUCUUGCAAUUACCUGGAAUUGCACCCAAUCCUGCGGAUUGUUGUGGUAGCCUUAGGGUAGUGACAGCCCUAACGGUCGACGUAUUCCACCACGUUCGGAUCGGUGUUUGUAGGACCGUAGUCAGACCUUCCUAGCCCCCUUCUCAUCUCUUUCCGUGGUUAGUGCUCUGAUGUCCCGAUAUAGAUAAUCUUGAAGUAAAUCUUGAUUCUUAGAUCAACUAGAGAACUCUCAGUAAACUUCCUCUCUUCCCACCAAAAAUAAUUAUAUAGUUAUCCUUGGGCGAUCUUGGAUCUUAAUUAGUACACUCACGUUCCCUGUGGAAAAUCGAUACUCUGGAAAACUCCCGGGUGAAGGCUACAUCGGUAUCCGUGCGCUUGCAGAUUUUUCUGUUUGCGUUUAAAAUACCCAACAACAUCAUGGAGAGGUUUCCACAAGAGCUAGUCCACGCCUUCGCUGGGCUGUUUCCCUGGGGUGACCCCUACACUUCGGUGUGGGAUCAGUCUGAGGGGAGUGAUCUAGAGAGGAGUGCGGAUGAGGGCCAGCACAAUGACACUACGGGUAUGAGUGCUAUGUUUGCCAUGAUGGAGACUUAUGGAGGUCUAGAGCGCUGCUUGGGGCGCUUGUCUGGGUCUCUAAUGACAGUUCAGGAUGAGAAGCGCCAGCUACAGCGUGAGUUUGACAGUGAGGUUGAGAGGCUGCAGGCAGAGUUGGCCCGUGUGACUCUAGAGAGGGACCAGGCAGUCUGGAAGAACAGUGUGCUGAGUCAGGAUCUACUAGCAGUGAGAGAGCAGAAGGACAGGGUAACCACAGCUCGCAAGAACUGCAAGCGCAUGCUAGUCCAUGUGCUUGGUCAGAGGAAUGAAGCCUGGCACGAGGAGGACACCCUGAGGGCUCGACAGGUGGAGCUUGAGCAGCAGCUAGCUAAUGAUGAGGAAUACAAUGAGAACCUUCAUGAGGAGAUCCACCAGCUACAUAACCAGCUCCACCCUUAGCACCUACCUGGAGCAGUUGAGUUAGACUUUGAGGAUGAGAUGGAUGAGGAUCCAGAGAUGGAGGCAGCCGCUAGUGAAGAUGAGGAUGAGGAAGGUUCCGACAUGGACAGCCAGCAUAGCUAGUAGAUGCUAGGGCUCUAGAGCUAGUCUUUCUUAUUUUGCUGUUGUUGUUGCAUGACAUGUGCGUGUAAUCUGUUUGGAUCUUGGAUGUGUAAGACUUUAUGUGCUGAGUUGUGUUGACGCUGAAAGUCCAGUGUAUCUAUACUGGCAAUUUUGGAUGUAUGCGAACCUUGUUGGCUAGAUGCUAAGUAAUCGGUUAGUGAUGUUGUGUGUGGAUAAUGAAUCAUUGUGCCUCUGUUUAAUGUUUGGAUUUGUUCUUGUUAGUAAAUUCACUGUGGCACAAUUUUGCAUAUGUCUACUGGUUGAUAACAACUCCUAACGACUGCUUAUCGUUGACGCAUGCAGAUGGUGCAAACACAUGGCGGGGGUAACCGCAACCAUGGUGCUGGAGAAGGUUCCUCUGGAGGUGGGGCUCGCAGGAAUGAGGAAAGAGCACCAUCACCGCCACCACCACCACCUCCUCCGUACACCGUGGACAUGUUUUUUGUGCAGUUUCUGGGAAGCCAACAAAACAUGGAACAAAUGCAGCGAAACAUGGAAGCUGCCCUACGUAACAUCGCCGACAACACCCGCCGUGGGGAUAACUAGGGCGGCCGCAAAGUGAAUCAGUACAGCUCUUUGAAGGACUUCAUGGACACAAAACCACCGGUCUUUAAGGAGGCCCUAGAACCGCUUGAAGCAGAUGAAUGGAUUAACACCAUGGAGCAGAAGUUCUGUCUCCUUUGGCUGACCGAAGAGCUCAAGCCAGAGUACGCAGCGCAUCACUGUUGAUAUUUGGUAACGCAAUAAGGAAUUGACCUGCAAGCGCACGGAUAUCGAUGAGCAUUUCACCCGGGAGGUUAUCCAGAGUAUCGUAUUUAUAUUUUUACCACUGGGAGAAAGGGUGCAUUUAACUAACCAAAUCUAUUGCUACUACCCUUUAGGCUACAAAGAAUGUUUCUCGAUGUGAGCGAUGUAUAGAGUAAACUGCAACCGUAGUCUCGUUCUAACCUUGGUAAGGAUGAUCUACUAUUCUAUUGGGGAAGCUUACGGAAUCUAGACACCACAAAGGAUGUUCGACCCGCACCUAUAAACCUACCCGUCCUGCUGACGAGAUGUGGGAUGCAAAGGUAACUCGGAAAUGUCAAGUUCCUUGCUACUACCAUGGUCCAGCUAGUCAGGGGAUAUCUAUGAGUACCCUAGCCCAAACACCACGUUUACGCUAGCAAUGAUUACUCUAAACUUAACCGGAAGAGAUUAAAGUAAACUCAUAAACCAAAGAACAAUAAAACAAGAACUUACUAGAAUUUAGAAGUCGAAUUACGGAAGAAUCCUAGGAGCAAGCCUCGGGUUAGAAGACUUGAUCCCGCAGGUACAACCUCAGAGGAGACACCGACAGGCCGAGCUUCCUCCGAUCUACACCUCCACUCUAUCUCUCUCAAUCUAGUAGAAACUAGAAGAUCUAAUUCUACUCACAUUGGAUGCUAAGCCUAAAUGAAAUUUUAUAUAGAGGAGAGGUAUUCCUUCGAGGGCUCCUCUCAACUCUAUGAUGAAGUUGUCUCCUCCAGGGGCCAGGGUGUCUGGUUUUAUAGUCCCCUCAAGUGAACGUGAGCCGUUGGAUCAAACCGACAUUGAUUGGGCAGUUAUCCUUGAUCCUUUAGGUCAGUGGACCUUGGUCCCCGAAAAGAGUUCUGAUUGAACUCUAGGUCAGGGCGGGCGCCCAAGGGGGGUGGGCGGGCGCCCUGCCCCCAGGCCCGUUUACCUUCCCGAUCGUUCCCGUGGCUUCUAGAGUUUUUCUAGAUGACAGAAAAUUGCGCGGCAUGUUAAUAUCUCUAUGUAAACCCGACAUGUGGGCCUUUCUUCCGUGUUUCCUGAUAACACCCUGUAGAAAUAGACAAACACCAAAAGUCGUGGAAUUCUGUCAGAUAAAACCCUAAGUCUGGGUGUUGGUUACAUUUGGAUCCUUUUCUUUAUUUAUUUGAUGAUUAUAUUUGGUACUUAAGGACCGUCAACAACUCCCCGAAGCUUACCUCUUGCUCGUCCCUGAGCAAGGAUGAACUCAAGAGUUUCUGCAGUGGUUUCAUGCCUUAAAUGUAAGAUCUCAUCUCUGAGUUAGAGUAAACUGUUAAGACUUAAAACUUACUCAUUUUACCUUUCACCAUGGGGCUUGUAACCGUCACUUGUGUCUUGAGUAGUUAAAAGAUAGAACAGUCUAAUCAAGCGCCAUGUCUCGUAUUCUUGAUCAGCUAUAGCUCUAGUGUUUUUGCAAAUUUUGAAAUAAAACUCAGAGAUUCCUUGUAUGAUUCUCUCAUAUCUCUCUUUUGUGGUAUUUCUGGAUCCUUACCAAGGCAGUAAUGGUAUAUGCCUUCUCUCAAAGUAUGUGGUAUUUUUGGUAUAAGGCAUAGUGAUAUUGCCUUCUCUCUCACCCUACUUUAAUAAGGUUUUGAUAUCUAGAGCUCAUAUGUGGGAGAUAGAUAAUACAUACUUACAAGACAUUUAUUGCAUAGUCAAACCAUAGAUCGAGAGAAACAAGUCAAUAAGUCAAAUCAAGAUGUGCAUGUGUGGCGAAUGAAUGGUGUAUGGUGAUAAUGGUGAAAGUCUAAUUCUACUUUUGCUCUUUUAAAGGGAUACAUACCUUUCUUGCUCUUUGAAGCAUUUUGAGGAGAAGGAGAUGCUCUACAUUUUCUUUUUCUUCUUCUCUCAGGUGGGUAUCUUGUACCCCUAAUUCUA